AGCUUUGCGCAGUGGCAGUAUCAUAGCCAAUGAGGUUUAUCUGAGGCACGAUUAUUGCUAAUUGAAAAAGAUUGCAGCCAUUUCCCUCUGAGGGGGAGUUCACCCAAGGGCAACUUACUUGCCUCUGACAGUUCUAGGAAGUGACACUAAUAUGCA
This is a small nuclear RNA of Nomascus leucogenys (northern white-cheeked gibbon), 156 nucleotides long. Its record names the gene U4. It matches the Rfam family "U4 spliceosomal RNA". Rfam says of the family: U4 small nuclear RNA (U4 snRNA) is a component of the major U2-dependent spliceosome. The structure of U4 snRNA from yeast and human has been reported. NCBI's taxonomy places the organism in Eukaryota, Metazoa, Chordata, Mammalia, Primates, Hylobatidae. The record is from Ensembl.